AUCCCACUUUCAGGGAUGAUUCAGAAUCAGAAGAGAUACAUGUAAAUUUAAACACAUUUGACAUUUGUACAAGCUAUGAUGGAACCCUUAACUUCAUCUUCCCCUUAGGUAUAGGUCAGAAGAGGAUUAUUCCGGCCCAAGAAACCGUUGGUCUGAGGGUAUACUCACAGGACUGUUGGAGAGCUAUGUUCUUCCUGGUCCCAUGGAGCUUCUGUCCCAUGACUCACCUGAACUGCCUUGGUUGGUUGGGUGCACACAGGACUUUGGCUCUCAAGCCGAGUCCUCCAAGGAUGGAGGUCAAGGACAGUGAAGAAAGAGGUUGAAGCCCAGUAAGAACAGAUCUGUACAAGACAGAUGAAGCCCUGGAAGUGUUGAGGGCAAGUUGUCACAAUAUUCAAGAGUGCCCAAGUGACCCAAGAUACUAGGUAGGCACAGCAAAAGUCAUCAUUCUAGACUGUCUGGCAGGCAGACAUGUCUAUAACAUACCCCUAGGGAUACAGAUGGAAGUCAUUUCUGGCCUUUGUGUCAGCUUACCCAGAUGAGUAAGACCAAAAAGUGAAAACUGGAAUGUUUAAAUGUCAAUUGGAUCUCAGCCAAGCAAGAAACCCCAGCCUUAUACCAGGUGACCUACUCAAGCACUAACAAACUUGGGAAUUCCCCAUAGUAUAGGCUAUGUUGAGGUCACCAAGAUGUGUUUGCUGUUGUAGAACCUGGUCAGGCACAUGACUUCCAGGUUAUAGAAUCACCCAG
This 750-nucleotide long non-coding RNA is filed under the name Callithrix jacchus (white-tufted-ear marmoset). RNAcentral's name for it is "lncRNA (ENSCJAG00000071728.1)". The record is from RNAcentral. Lineage: Eukaryota; Metazoa; Chordata; Mammalia; Primates; Cebidae.